This 292-nucleotide ribosomal RNA is filed under the name uncultured bacterium. RNAcentral describes it as "partial 16S ribosomal RNA". It matches the Rfam family "Bacterial small subunit ribosomal RNA", at positions 505 to 796 of the family's 1533-position model. The record is from RNAcentral.
GUGCCAGCAGCCGCGGUAAUACGUAGGUGGCAAGCGUUGUCCGGAUUUAUUGGGUUUAAAGGGUGCGUAGGUGGUUCCAUAAGUCAGUGGUGAAAUACGGCAGCUUAACUGUCGAGGUGCCAUUGAUACUGCGGAACUUGAGUACAGACGAGGUAGGCGGAAUUGACGGUGUAGCGGUGAAAUGCUUAGAUAUCGUCAAGAACACCGAUAGCGAAGGCAGCUUACUAGACUGUAACUGACACUGAGGCACGAAAGUGUGGGGAUCAAACAGGAUUAGAAACCCCCGUAGUCC